This 301-nucleotide ribosomal RNA is filed under the name uncultured bacterium. RNAcentral's name for it is "partial 16S ribosomal RNA". It matches the Rfam family "Bacterial small subunit ribosomal RNA", at positions 509 to 807 of the family's 1533-position model. The record is from RNAcentral.
CAGUAGCCGCGGUAAUACAGAGGGAGCUAGCGUUGUUCGGAAUUACUGGGCGUAAAGCGCACGUAGGCGGCUUUGUAAGUCAGAGGUGAAAGCCUGGAGCUCAACUCCAGAACUGCCUUUGAGACUGCAUCGCUUGAAUCCAGGAGAGGUGAGUGGAAUUCCGAGUGUAGAGGUGAAAUUCGUAGAUAUUCGGAAGAACACCAGUGGCGAAGGCGGCUCACUGGACUGGUAUUGACGCUGAGGUGCGAAUGCGUGGGGAGCAAACAGGAUUAGAUACCCGCGUAGUCCCUGUCUCUUAUAC